UGGCGAACGGGUGAGUAACACGUGAGCAACCUGCCCCUGACUCUGGGAUAAGCGCUGGAAACGGCGUCUAAUACUGGAUAUGUGACGUGAUCGCAUGGUCUGCGUCUGGAAAGAAUUUCGGUUGGGGAUGGGCUCGCGGCCUAUCAGCUUGUUGGUGAGGUAAUGGCUCACCAAGGCGUCGACGGGUAGCCGGCCUGAGAGGGUGACCGGCCACACUGGGACUGAGACACGGCCCAGACUCCUACGGGAGGCAGCAGUGGGGAAUAUUGCACAAUGGGCGCAAGCCUGAUGCAGCAACGCCGCGUGAGGGAUGACGGCCUUCGGGUUGUAAACCUCUUUUAGCAGGGAAGAAGCGAAAGUGACGGUACCUGCAGAAAAAGCGCCGGCUAACUACGUGCCAGCAGCCGCGGUAAUACGUAGGGCGCAAGCGUUAUCCGGAAUUAUUGGGCGUAAAGAGCUCGUAGGCGGUUUGUCGCGUCUGCUGUGAAAUCCGGAGGCUCAACCUCCGGCCUGCAGUGGGUACGGGCAGACUAGAGUGCGGUAGGGGAGAUUGGAAUUCCUGGUGUAGCGGUGGAAUGCGCAGAUAUCAGGAGGAACACCGAUGGCGAAGGCAGAUCUCUGGGCCGUAACUGACGCUGAGGAGCGAAAGGGUGGGGAGCAAACAGGCUUAGAUACCCUGGUAGUCCACCCCGUAAACGUUGGGAACUAGUUGUGGGGUCCAUUCCACGGAUUCCGUGACGCAGCUA
RNAcentral lists this ribosomal RNA (746 nucleotides) under Microbacterium sp. RNAcentral's name for it is "bacterial SSU rRNA". It matches the Rfam family "Bacterial small subunit ribosomal RNA", at positions 96 to 854 of the family's 1533-position model. The record is from RNAcentral. Lineage: Bacteria; Bacillati; Actinomycetota; Actinomycetes; Micrococcales; Microbacteriaceae.